GCAGUGGUGGUUUAAUGGUAGAAUUCUCACCUUCCAUGCAGGAGACCUGAGUUCCAUUCCCAACCAAUGCA
RNAcentral lists this transfer RNA (71 nucleotides) under Loxodonta africana (African savanna elephant). It matches the Rfam family "tRNA". From Rfam's summary of the family: Transfer RNA (tRNA) molecules are approximately 80 nucleotides in length. The record is from Rfam by way of RNAcentral. Lineage: Eukaryota; Metazoa; Chordata; Mammalia; Proboscidea; Elephantidae.